This 411-nucleotide ribosomal RNA is filed under the name uncultured bacterium. Its description in RNAcentral is "bacterial SSU rRNA". It matches the Rfam family "Bacterial small subunit ribosomal RNA", at positions 402 to 809 of the family's 1533-position model. The record is from RNAcentral.
UGAAGGAUGAAGGCGUUCUGCGUUGUAAACUUCUUUUAUUAGGGAAGAAACCGCUGAUUUCUAUUAGCGUUGACGGUACCUAAGGAAUAAGCACCGGCUAACUCCGUGCCAGCAGCCGCGGUAAUACGGAGGGUGCAAGCGUUAUCCGGAUUUACUGGGUUUAAAGGGUGCGCAGGCGGGCCGUUAAGUCAGUGGUGAAAUCUCCGGGCUCAACCCGGAAACUGCCGUUGAUACUAUCGGUCUUGAAUACUGUUGAGGUGGGCGGAAUAGGUCAUGUAGCGGUGAAAUGCAUAGAUAUGACCUGGAACCCCAAUUGCGAAGGCAGCUCACUAAGCAGCAUAUUGACGCUCAUGCACGAAAGCGUGGGGAUCAAACAGGAUUAGAUACCCUGGUAGUCCACGCCCUAAACGA